ACAACUUUCAACAACGGAUCUCUUGGUUCUGGCAUCGAUGAAGAACGCAGCGAAAUGCGAUAAGUAAUGUGAAUUGCAGAAUUUUGUGAAUCAUCGAAUCUUUGAACGCACAUUGCACCUUUUGGUAUUCCGAAAGGUAUGCUUGUUCGAGCGUCGUUUAAACUCUAUCAAUUUAAUUAUUGAUGUAUUGAGGUUUGAAUAGUCCAAAAAACUGUUCUCCUCCAAAAAGAUUGAAGCGACUCAGGAAUCUGAUUGAUAUUGAACGCAUUA
Molecule: ribosomal RNA, 270 nt
Filed under: Corticifraga peltigerae
Lineage: Eukaryota; Fungi; Ascomycota; Lecanoromycetes; Lecanorales
Description: 5.8S ribosomal RNA
Rfam family: 5.8S ribosomal RNA (bases 3-156)
About the family: 5.8S ribosomal RNA (5.8S rRNA) is a component of the large subunit of the eukaryotic ribosome. It is transcribed by RNA polymerase I as part of the 45S precursor that also contains 18S and 28S rRNA.
Source: RNAcentral